AGCAGCCGCGGUAAUUCCAGCUCCAAUAGCGUAUAUUAAAGUUGUUGCAGUUAAAAGCUCGUAGUUGAAUUUCGGGAUCAAUAUGUUGGUCGUGCCUUGGUACGUACUGGCAUUAUUGGUUUCUACCUUCUGAAGAACCUUGAUGUCAUUAAUUUGGUGUCUUGGGGAAUCAGGAC
RNAcentral lists this unclassified non-coding RNA (176 nucleotides) under uncultured Glomus. Its description in RNAcentral is "sequence contains 18S rRNA gene". It matches the Rfam family "Eukaryotic small subunit ribosomal RNA", at positions 569 to 748 of the family's 1831-position model. Lineage: Eukaryota; Fungi; Glomeromycota; Glomeromycetes; Glomerales; Glomeraceae. The record is from RNAcentral.